CUAAGAUAGUAAGAGCAUACGGUGGAUGCCUUGGCGAUAUCUGCCGAUGAAGGACGCGACAAGCUGCGAAAAGCUGCGGAGAGGUGCAAAUGACCAUUGACCCGCAGAUCUCCGAAUGGAGCAAUCCGGCAGGGUUUAUCCCCUGUCACCCAUAUCUUCGAAUAUGGGAGGGAACCGGGCGAACUGAAACAUCUAAGUAGCCCGAGGAAGAGUAAUCAAACGAGAUACCCCAAGUAGCGGCGAGCGAACGGGGCCUAAGCCCAAACCGGUGAAGGAAACUUUGCCGGGGUUGAGGACUGCCAUACGAACUCAACCAUUAGCCGAAAUUCCUGGGAAGGAAUGCCGAAGAAUGUGAAAGCCAUGUAAGCGAAAAUGGAAAAGGGACAGGCAGCACCAGAGUACCGCGGGACACGAGAAACCCCGUGGGAAGCCGGGGGGACCACCCUCCAAGGCAAAACACAGAUAUCGACCGAUAGCGCAUAGUACCAUGAGGGAAAGGUGAAAAGCACCCCGGGAGGGGAAUGAAAGAGAACCUGAAACCGUAUGUUUACAAGCAGUCGAAGACCGCUUAAUAAUAAGGUCAACGGCGUGCCUAUUGAAGAAUGAACCGGCGAGUUAUGAGGUCCAGCAAGGUUAAGCAGGAAAUGCGGAGCCGAAGCGAAAGCGAGUCUUAAUAGGGCGACAAGUUGGAUUGCAUAGACCCGAAACCACAGUGAUCUACCCAUGUCCAGGCUGAAGCACAGGUAAAAAUGUGUGGAGGGCCGAACCUAUAUCCGUUGAAAAGGGUUAGGAUGAGGUGUGGGUAGGGGUGAAAUUCCAAUCGAACGUGGAGAUAGCUGGUUCUCCCCGAAAUAGCUUUAGGGCUAGCCUCGAGGUAGAGAUUGCAGGCGGUAGAGCACUGAUCAGGAGAGGGGCCUACCCGGCUACCAAACCCAGUCAAACUACGAAUGGCUGCAAUUAUACUCGGGAGUCAGACUACGACUUAUAAGGGCCGUGGUCAAAAGGGAAACAGCCCAGAUCAUCAGCUAAGGUCCCAAAUGCCGUGCUAAGUGGCGAAGGAUGUGGCGUUUCAUAAACAACCAGGAUGUUGGCUCAGAAGCAGCCACCAUUUAAAGAGUGCGUAAUAGCUCACUGGUCGAGAGACGCUGCGCCGAAAAUGUCCGGGGCUCAAGCACGGAACCGAAGCUAUGGCAUGAUAGCAAUAUCAUGGGUAGGGGAGCGUUCUUAACAGGAAGAAGCAUGACCGUAAGGACAUGUGGACCGUUAAGAAGUGAGAAUGCCGGUAUGAGUAUCGAAAAGAAAGGUGAGAAUCCUUUCCACCGAAAGCCCGAGGGUUCCUGAGCAACGAUCGUCGUCUCAGGGUAAGUCGGGACCUAAGCCGAGGCGGAGACGCAUAGGCGAUGGACAACAGGUUGAAAUUCCUGUACCGGAUACAAUCGUUUGAGCGAUGGAGCGACGCAGAAAGGCAUAUGAUCGCGCGACUGGAAGAGCGCGUCCAAGUGCGUAUGUUGAAUCGGAGGCAAAUCCCUGAUUCUGAAAGCAGAGACACGAUGGGGAGUUAUACGAAAGUAUGACGAACUCAUAGAUCCUACACUGCCAAGAAAAACUUCUAGUGAGAAAGUAUCCGCCCGUACCGUAAACCGACACAGGUAGGCGGGGAGAGAAUCCUAAGGUGCGCGGGAAAACCCUCGUUAAGGAACUCGGCAAAUUGCAUCCGUAACUUAGGGAGAAGGAUGACCUUAAGUAAGCGAAAGGGAGAAACCCCUGGAACAGAACAAGGUGGCAGAAAAGAGGCCCAAGCAACUGUUUACCAAAAACACAGGUGCCUGCGAAAGCGAAAGCUGAAGUAUAGGUGCUGACGCCUGCCCGGUGCUGGAAGGUUAAGGAGAGAUGUCAGAGCAAUCGAAGCAUUGAACUGAAGCCCCAGUGAACGGCGGCCGUAACUAUAACGGUCCUAAGGUAGCGAAAUUCCUUGUCGGGUAAGUUCCGACCCGCACGAAAGG
RNAcentral lists this ribosomal RNA (2003 nucleotides) under human gut metagenome. Its description in RNAcentral is "bacterial LSU rRNA". It matches the Rfam family "Bacterial large subunit ribosomal RNA", at positions 1 to 1999 of the family's 2925-position model. The record is from RNAcentral.